Molecule: long non-coding RNA, 3409 nt
Filed under: Equus caballus (horse)
Lineage: Eukaryota; Metazoa; Chordata; Mammalia; Perissodactyla; Equidae
Description: lncRNA (ENSECAG00000058203.1)
Source: RNAcentral
GGAAAGGAAAAAGUAAAACCGUCUUUAAUCACAGACAUAUGAAUCAUUUAUAAGGAAAACUUUACAGAAUCUACCAAAAAGUUACUAGAACUAAAAGGUGAGUUUAACAGGGUUUUUCGAUAUAGGUCAAUAUAUUUUGGAAAUCAAUUUUGUUUCUAUAUACUGGUAAUGAACAAAUGGAAGUUGAGAUUUGUAAAAAUACUCUUUACAAGAGCACUAAAAAUAUGAAACACUUAAGGAUAAUUAUGACCAAAAUUGUGCAAGACCUGUACACUAAAAAUCACCAGACAUUGCUGAGAGAAAUUAAAAAACAUCCAAAGAAAUGGAGAGAUAUGUGGUGAUUAUGGAUUAAGGGACAAUAUUGGUAAGGCAUCAUUUCCCGAAGGAUCUAUAGAGUCCAUACAAACUCAUUCAAAAUCCCAGCAGGCUUUAUUUGUAUAAAAUUGGAUAAUCAAUUCUGAAAGUCAUACGGAAAUGCAAAGGACCUAAAUUGCUAAAAUCACUGGAAAAGAACCAAGUUGGAGAACUUGCACUACCAGAUUUCAACACUUGUUAUAAAGCUACAGUAAUCAAGACAACAUGGUAUUGGCCAAAGGAUAAGCACAAAGAUCAACAGAACAGAAUGGAGUCCAGAAACAGACCCACACAUAUAUAUGGUCAAUUAAUUUUUUUCCAGCUUUAUAGAGAUAUUAUUGGCAUAUAACAUUGUGUAAGCUUAAGGUGUACAACAUGCUGAUUUGAUACACUUAUAUAUUGCAAAAUGAUUACCACCAUGGCAUUGGCUAACACUCAUCACAUCACAUAAUUACCAUUUCUUUUUUGUGGUGAGAACACUUAAAAUCUACUCUCUUAGCAACUUUCAAAUAUAUAAUACAGUAUUAUUAACUAAAAUCACCAUGCUGUACAUUAGAUCAGCAGAAUUUAUUUAUCUUAUAGCUGAAAGUUUGUCCUCUGUGACCAACAUUUCCCCUGUUCCCCAUGGUCAAUUGAUUUUUGACAACAAUACCAAAGCAAGUCAAAGAAAACGAAAAGAAAGCCAUGGUCUGGGAGAAAAUACUCACAAAACAUAUAUAUGACAAAGGACUUCUAUCUAGAAUACAGAAAGAACUUCUACCACUCAAUAAUAAGAAGGCAAAUAACCCAAUAUAAAUAUUUGAACAAACACUUCACCAAAGAAGAUAUACAGAAAGUAAAUAAGCACGUGAAAAAUUGCUCAAUAUUAUUAGUCACUGAGGACAUGUAAAAUAAACCACACUGAGAUCCCACUACACUCAUACUAGAAUGGCUAAAAUUAAAAAGAUGGAUGACACCAAGUUUUUGUGAAUGUGUGGAGGAAUUAGAACUCUCAUACACUACUGCUAAGAACGUAAUAAGUUACAACCACUUUGGAACACGGUCUGGCAAUUUCUUAAACAUUUAAACAUUUAACUAAUGUACGAUCUAAUUGUUCUAUUUCUAGGUAUGUACCAAGAAGAAAUUGAAACCUAUGUCCAUACAAAGACUCGUACACAUAUGGUCAAAGUAGCUUUAUACACAAUAGCUAAAAAACAGAAACACCUGCAAAGUCUAUUAUCAGAUGGAUAAAUCAAGGAGUGAAAGAUAUGAGACAAAAAGUAUGUAUUCCAUGAAUCCAUUUACAUAAAAUUUUAGAAAAUUACAAGCUAUUCUACAGAGACAGCAGAUCCAAGAGAUGAGAGAAGGGGGGAGGUAUGGAGAUGAGAAAGGCGUUAGAAAGGGGCAGGAGGAAACUUGGGGGUGAUGGCUAUGUUCAUGAUCUUGAUUGUGGUGAUGAUUUCACAGAUGCAUUAUAAUGUCCAAACUCAUCAAAUUGUGAAGUUGUAAGUCAACUAUACCUCAACAAAGCUGUAAAAAAAAAAAAAAACGCAGCCCCCAGUCCGAGACCCAGAUAUGCCGAUGAAGUAGCAGUAGGUAAGUACAAGGAUCAGCAUGUUUAACAAGCCUUCCAGGACAUGCUGAUGUAGGUGGACCCUGAACCGCACUUUGAAAGAUGCUGCUCAAGGAAAAUAUAUCUCUUGGCUGUACCAACCCAGCCAGGGGUACCAUAUGCCAGGCACAGUCGGCCAGUUUGCCCCAAUCGGCCAGGCAGGCAGGACUCACCCAACUGGAGCCUACACCCACGCUUUUUUCUUUCCUCCCUUUCUCUCUUCACGGGCUCAUCCAGAGGUUCAUUUGUACUUCCUGUCACUUCUUGUCUAGUGUUCUUACCUGUCACUCCUCUGGUUCUGGCUGGCCCUCCGCAAAAGUCUUCGCCUUGUGGCUUUAGACUUCUCAUUCCACUAAACACCCCCAAACUGCCAGAGCUCUCCCUGCCCUUAAACUGGAAGAAUCUCCAAAGUAAGAGAAAAGGCAUUACAAAGUUUCCAAAAUUUACUCAGAAAAGAUGUUCUUUUUGCCUGGGAAGGCUAAAACCACGUUCAGUCUAGCGGAAACGUGUUGAUGGGCUCUUAAAACACCUUUAUUUUUUCUUCCACAAAUUUUUGUCUCUUUUUCUGACUUCUAGUUUUGAGAUCUUGUGAUUUGAGGCAGGUGGGCAAUACAAGUGUUUAUUUUAUUCAUAUAGAAAAGUUUUUUUUUAAAAAGUGAGAAAUGGAAAUAAAAAUACAAUAAACUUUUUAAAAAACACUAAUAACCAUAAGGUUAAUGCGUUCUGACUUAUCAGUAGGUGUCUUUGUGUGAAUUAAAAAGGGUGGCUUUUAAUGCCUCUGGAAGUGAACCCAAACCCCAGCCUGUAAUGCCUCAAGGUUAAGAAAUUGAAACCCUAGGACAAUCAAUCACAAACAGCCAACCAGGCUUUCCCAAAUCGGGCAACCACUUCCGGUUUGGCACUACCCCAAUUCAAAUAGGUUUUCAAUCAAAUAAACUCCUAAAAUUUUUCAUAUGCCUCAGUUUAUCUUUUAACAAUAUCAAGACAUUGCCCAUUUGCGCCCCUCCCCCCACCCCGACCUUUGCCUGCCUUUCCUUCCGAAGUGAUUCCAUGCCUUCCUCUGGCCUGGUGUUGGGUCAUCAGCCUUGCAAUGGCCACUCUGUUCGAAGGUCACUUUGCUGGCAUCUGGUCCUCCGCUGUCAGGGAAAGCUGGCGGGAGACUCUCUUUCUCAGAGACAGGGGCAGCAUUAGUGCCCUCGGAGACGCCUCUGUGCCUCUUCUCCUCCUGAGACAAUGGAAACCUAAUUUGGAAAGCAGCUCUGGCUUGGAAGUCUCUGCUCACUCAGUCAAAAGAGUUUAUUUACAUAACAACAAUAAUCCUCUAAGUGGAUUGACUGCUUCCAAUUUGAAUAGUGCUUCUGGGUCCACUAUGGUGAUGAUAUCAGGCAGGUCUCUGCAGGUACCCAGAACUCUUAGCUCAGAGAACUAAAGAUACAAAAGAGAGGCAAAAAUGAGCUCACACAA